AGGGUAUGGGAGAAAAAUGCUUCCUUCAGCUUUGUCCAUCCUGAGAAAGGAGAAAAUUCUUAUUUGUCUUUCUGAGGACUUGAACAGUACUGUGAAGCUUGUCAGUGAUAACUUUAUCCAAUGUAAUACUGACUGUUUGGUGGUUGCAUGGCUGUUCCAUGUGAUCUGCCCAAGCUCCUCAACCUGGAGUCCCUGUGAAGGCAAUCAUUUGCCUAAGUGAAGACUCAGAGUGAAGAGAAAUGUGCCUUCUGCUGAUAAUGUACCUGAAGGGUGGUGAAGAUCACUGAUGUUUGCCUCAAUGAGCAAGGUGAAAAAACAAGAAACUCGUACUUCAUUUAAGGAUCAGAGAGAGAGGGAGACACAGAAUCUGAAGCAGGUU
Long non-coding RNA from Suricata suricatta (meerkat), 379 nucleotides. RefSeq lists it as uncharacterized. Lineage: Eukaryota; Metazoa; Chordata; Mammalia; Carnivora; Herpestidae. The transcript is spliced from 5 exons. The record is from RefSeq and is a predicted model, not a curated record.